RNAcentral lists this microRNA precursor (67 nucleotides) under Bombyx mori (domestic silkworm). RNAcentral describes it as "mir-2774 microRNA precursor family". It matches the Rfam family "mir-2774 microRNA precursor family". Lineage: Eukaryota; Metazoa; Arthropoda; Insecta; Lepidoptera; Bombycidae. The record is from Rfam by way of RNAcentral.
ACAACAUUCGGACCGUCGGUUAACCAAGCAAUGACACUCGCUCUAUGGAAGAUCUUCCCUUUUUCUU